Molecule: non-coding RNA, 84 nt
Organism: Ovis aries (sheep)
Lineage: Eukaryota; Metazoa; Chordata; Mammalia; Artiodactyla; Bovidae
Source: Rfam
GGUCUAGUGCUGUGUGGAAGACUAGUGAUUUUGUUGUUCUGAUAUACUAUGACAACAAGUCACAGCUUCCUCACAGCGUGGACU